This 820-nucleotide ribosomal RNA is filed under the name Bacillus amyloliquefaciens. RNAcentral's name for it is "bacterial SSU rRNA". It matches the Rfam family "Bacterial small subunit ribosomal RNA", at positions 53 to 854 of the family's 1533-position model. Lineage: Bacteria; Bacillati; Bacillota; Bacilli; Caryophanales; Bacillaceae. The record is from RNAcentral.
ACAUGCAGUCGAGCGAGACAGAUGGGAGCUUGCUCCCUGAUGUUAGCGGCGGACGGGUGAGUAACACGUGGGUAACCUGCCUGUAAGACUGGGAUAACUCCGGGAAACCGGGGCUAAUACCGGAUGGUUGUUUGAACCGCAUGGUUCAGACAUAAAAGGUGGCUUCGGCUACCACUUACAGAUGGACCCGCGGCGCAUUAGCUAGUUGGUGAGGUAACGGCUCACCAAGGCGACGAUGCGUAGCCGACCUGAGAGGGUGAUCGGCCACACUGGGACUGAGACACGGCCCAGACUCCUACGGGAGGCAGCAGUAGGGAAUCUUCCGCAAUGGACGAAAGUCUGACGGAGCAACGCCGCGUGAGUGAUGAAGGUUUUCGGAUCGUAAAGCUCUGUUGUUAGGGAAGAACAAGUGCCGUUCAAAUAGGGCGGCACCUUGACGGUACCUAACCAGAAAGCCACGGCUAACUACGUGCCAGCAGCCGCGGUAAUACGUAGGUGGCAAGCGUUGUCCGGAAUUAUUGGGCGUAAAGGGCUCGCAGGCGGUUUCUUAAGUCUGAUGUGAAAGCCCCCGGCUCAACCGGGGAGGGUCAUUGGAAACUGGGGAACUUGAGUGCAGAAGAGGAGAGUGGAAUUCCACGUGUAGCGGUGAAAUGCGUAGAGAUGUGGAGGAACACCAGUGGCGAAGGCGACUCUCUGGUCUGUAACUGACGCUGAGGAGCGAAAGCGUGGGGAGCGAACAGGAUUAGAUACCCUGGUAGUCCACGCCGUAAACGAUGAGUGCUAAGUGUUAGGGGGUUUCCGCCCCUUAGUGCUGCAGCUA